UUUUAACGGCCGCGGUAUUCUGACCGUGCAAAGGUAGCAUAAUCACUUGUCUUUUAAAUAAAGACUGGAAUGAAUGGCAAGACGAGUUAUCCACUGUCUCCUUUAUUUAAUCAAAGAAACUGAUCUCCCUGUGAAAAAGCAGCGAUAACCUUACAAGACGAGAAGACCCUAUGAAGCUUAGACACACAAUUAGUUAAUAACUUAUUUAAUAUAAGUUUUUAAUACUUCUAAUUAUUAAAUUUGGUUGGGGUGACCACGGAGGAAAAAAAUCCUCCGAGAAAUAAAAUUAAGACAACCUGUCAAAAUUAGAUAAAAGCACUUGACCCAAUUAUAUUGAUCAACGAAACAAGUUACUCUAGGGAUAACAGCGCAAUAUUCUCCAAGAGCCCCUAUCGACGAGAAAGUUUACGACCUCGAUGUUGGAUCAGGAUAUCCAGACAAUGCAGCCGUUGUCACAGGUUUGUUUGUUCAACAAUUAAAAUCCUACGUGAUC
This 493-nucleotide ribosomal RNA is filed under the name Scolecomorphus kirkii (Kirk's caecilian). RNAcentral's name for it is "partial large subunit ribosomal RNA". It matches the Rfam family "Bacterial large subunit ribosomal RNA", at positions 1922 to 2605 of the family's 2925-position model. Lineage: Eukaryota; Metazoa; Chordata; Amphibia; Gymnophiona; Scolecomorphidae. The record is from RNAcentral.